This 694-nucleotide ribosomal RNA is filed under the name uncultured bacterium. Its description in RNAcentral is "bacterial SSU rRNA". It matches the Rfam family "Bacterial small subunit ribosomal RNA", at positions 141 to 851 of the family's 1533-position model. The record is from RNAcentral.
GGAUAACGUCUGGAAACGGACGCUAAUACCGCAUAAUACUAUUUGAGGGCAUCCUUGGAUAGUCAAAGGAGAAAUCCGAUGGGAGAUGGACUCGCGGCUGAUUAGAUAGUUGGCGGGGUAGAGGCCCACCAAGUCGACGAUCAGUAGCCGGACUGAGAGGUUGAACGGCCACAUUGGGACUGAGACACGGCCCAGACUCCUACGGGAGGCAGCAGUGGGGGAUAUUGCACAAUGGGGGAAACCCUGAUGCAGCGACGCCGCGUGAGGGAAGACGGUUUUCGGAUUGUAAACCUCUGUCUUUGGGGACGAAUUGAGACGGUACCCAAGGAGGAAGCUCCGGCUAACUACGUGCCAGCAGCCGCGGUAAUACGUAGGGAGCAAGCGUUGUCCGGAAUUACUGGGUGUAAAGGGAGCGUAGGCGGGAUAGUAAGUUGAUUGUUAAAACUAUCGGCUCAACUGGUAGAUGCGAUCAAAACUGCAAUUCUUGAGUGAAGUAGAGGCAGGCGGAAUUCCUAGUGUAGCGGUGAAAUGCGUAGAUAUUAGGAGGAACACCAGUGGCGAAGGCGGCCUGCUGGGCUUUAACUGACGCUGAGGCUCGAAAGUGUGGGUAGCAAACAGGAUUAGAUACCCUGGUAGUCCACACUGUAAACGAUGAUUACUAGGUGUGGGUGGACUGACCCCAUCCGUGCCGCAG